GUUCACUUGCACAGUCCUAUGGUCAUAGCUAGUCCUUCUUAAAGCUCUAGCCAGUGGGAAAGCGUUUGUGUUUCUAUCCUUGGAGCUCCAAGUGGGACUUCUUAAAAGAUUUAGAAGGAGCAAAGCUGUCAGGAAAUCAGAAACGUCACAUGGACUCCAUGACUGGGAAAAACCUCGUGGUGGCCUGCUCUCAGUGCUUGGAUGUGUGCUAGUUACAUCUCGGAGGUCUGAUUUUCUUAACUCUACUACGGUAAGAAGAUGCCCUCCAUCAGCAGGCCGUGUCUGCUGGGACCUCUCUGGAGACUUCCUGAACCCUGUGGAUUUACAGUAAGAUGCAGUUUCCUGGGGAGUAAUUCUGGUGGAUACAAAUUCCGGAGUAUUACACCUGGCUUGCCUGGAGAUGUUACAAGUAGCUGGAUGGAUUCUUCAGCCUGGAUGCCCACUGAAAACAAGGACCGAAACUAAGAGGAUUGUAUCUCUACCCUUGACUCAAUGAGAAUGUUUGUUGUCAUCUCUCGGGCUACCUGGAGCUCCCUCUAAAAUAGAGCCGAGUUCUGUCACCACAGACAUUGGCAGUGGCACUUGCAUGCCCCUGGCAAGCAGUCUAUCCUGAGGUGGAGGAAGUUGCCCUUGAGUUCUGGCUGGUAACCAGCACAGUAUACCCUUUAAGCGUUCCAGAAGGAUUUUGAGAUCCUUUCCUAAAUCAAAGGUGGAAUAUUUGGGGAUUUGGAAAAUUGAGGCUUCAGAGAAAUCAGGAGCGGUGAAUGAUCGAAAUGGACCUUUGAGAUUACAGUGUGGAGCUGACAUUGCCAGUUAAGCCUGGGCAGAUCUGACUUAAUUGAUUUAGUUGUUGGAGCAGAGACAACCCAGAGGCUUGGAUCAGCCUCCCCAUCUGACAGUGUGCUGAUGUGAAGCGUUGACUUAAGAGAUGCCAAGUAACUCAGCAGAUGUCACACAGACGAUAAAUAGCAAAGAUGGAAGUCUUCAUGCCGGAGGCAAUCCUAUAAGACAGCUGAGUUCUGCAGAGCUGGAGACAGACUUGCUCAGGUGAUAGAUCCAGCCAUGAUACUGACCCUAAGAGAAUGAGACGCUCUGCAGAAGACAGAAGAUUCCUGAAACUGGGAAAGGUGCCUAGAAAUCCUGAUAAGAGUGAAGAAGGAGCUGGCAGAGCAGCCUUCCUCCGCACUAUGAAAGACAUCCAACAGAGAGCAAGUUCCCACCUCACUUCCAGCUUGACUCCUUUUUAUCUCCUAACUGUGGUCUGUGAUGUCUUCAGCAAUGGGUACCUGGAGGCACAGCAGCCAUGUUGAACCUAUGAGGUGAUGAAAAACCAUGCAACUAGAAACCAGAAUGGAAGAAAAGAAGAAGCUGGAUCCUUGACUGAAUUGUCGAUGGGGGAUAGUCCAUCAUCCCAGGGCUAAGACCACCUCCAGAUUUCUUGUUUGGUGAAACAAGUCCUGAUUGUUUACAUUCCCUCGUGUUGAGCUGUCUCUUGCUUGUAGCUGAAAGCAUUUCUAAUAGAUAUUCAGAUUAUCAGCCUUAGCUCCAAGCUAGAAUACUCUAUGGGACCUUAGCUUCUCCAUGAAUUCCUUUGCUCAUCUGUGUAAUGCUCAAUAAAUGUAAAUUGAACCCUGAAUGAGGGACAAUGACA
RNAcentral lists this long non-coding RNA (1651 nucleotides) under Mus musculus (house mouse). RNAcentral describes it as "Pvt1 oncogene". The stretch from base 265 to 350 matches the Rfam family "Pvt1 oncogene conserved region 3". The record is from RNAcentral. Lineage: Eukaryota; Metazoa; Chordata; Mammalia; Rodentia; Muridae.